Silurus meridionalis is the source of this 1154-nucleotide long non-coding RNA. RefSeq lists it as uncharacterized. Lineage: Eukaryota; Metazoa; Chordata; Actinopteri; Siluriformes; Siluridae. The record is from RefSeq and is a predicted model, not a curated record. The transcript has 3 exons.
AAAGGAGCUGGAGCACAGCAGUCAGAGCCUGCAUCAAUGAAGUGUGUUAAGAAAUGUGGGAAAAUACAUCACUUUCUAGAGGACACUGAUAGAAGUGUUCAGGAACUUUUCAGGAAUGUUGAAAAUAUGGUAGCUAACAAAAAGCUCCAGUUCUUUAUUCCAUCAGACUAUAAACAUUUUAUGGAAACUGAUUUUGAACAAUGGGAAAUGAAACGAAUUUCAGGUAUGAAGAACAUACUGGAUAAAUGCAGCAAUGAUAGAUUAAACAUUAUUGAAGAACUGAAAGUGAAAUUGGAUGCGGCUCUGUACAGAGAGUCCAAACUGAAAGAGGAGUUGGAUGCCUUUAAACAAAGAGAGCGUGAACUGAAAGCACAUUGGGAAGCCACCCUGAGAGAAAAUGGGCUUGAAGCGAAGUUUAUUUGCUGGCAAAAAUCUCUUUCUCAGAAAAAAGAAAGUGAAGUUAGAAAUGAGGAAGGUGAGGUAGAAAAGCACGAGACAAAGCAAAUUUCACAACUCGCUGAAACAAGGAAAUGUGGAAGCAGCAAAGAAGGACCUUUAACAAACUUUCCCAUUAACCAGUGUUAGUCUGCGCACAUACUGAAUUACAUCGAGCCUAAAGGCGGUAGACAAACCAAUGACACAACAAGGACAGAGGAAGAGUCUUGUGUGGAAUCAAAAUCUUCAUGUGUGAAAAACAGAUCGUAUAAGAAGCCUUUGUGUGAUCGCAGAUGAAGAGUAAACACGUGAAUGUAAUAUAAAAAUAAAUACAUAUAAUACAAAGAAUUUAAUCAAUGAAAGAUCACCCAUCAAAAAAAAAAAGAAACCUGUAAAAUCAAUCUUAGAUUUUUUGUGUAUAAUACAUAAACUUUAUAAUGUGGAAAUGAUUCAUUGAAAUUACAAAGAUAAUUAGAUGCUUGUAUUAUGAAAUUCAUGCUUUUUCUGAUUUCUUUUUUUUCUUAUGCACAUUUAAAGCACCUUAAACUAAUUUAAUAAUCUUCAAUAAAUAAUAGCCAUUGCGGAGAAAAGUGAAUCUUAAAGUAUUGUUAUGCAGUAAUUAUCAUUAUUUUGCUUGAAUGUUGCUUUCAAUCUUUUUGAAAAUUACCUAAACAAUAUAAAAUGUAAGAGUGAUUCUAUAUAUAUAUUAAAUUGGUAUU